GUUCUUAAAGUAUAGUGGAGCAUGACUUAGAGGGAAUUCCUUUUGAUCAAACAUAUUGAAGAAAUCAAGUGUGGGGGAAGGUUAUGUACAUGAGAAAAAGAAAUGUAUAUGAGAAAAAGAAAAAAAAAACGUGAAGAAAAGAAAAAAAGAAGGAAAAAGUUGAGAAAAGAAAGAAAAAGAGUUCAAAAUAAGUGAGAAUGAGCUCACAAGUAUUGGUUGUUGAAGAAAGGGUCCAAAAAGUUUGAAUAUAACCCUAAGUUGUACGAAAUCCCUUUAGUGUUUCAAGUUAUUUGCUACAUUCAAGAGUGAAUUCUAAGUUGAUUUCAUUGCUUUGCUUACUAUUGCUUUAAGAACCUUUGUUUAUCCUUACCUUUCUUUGGUAGCCAAUACCCUUAGCCCUGUUACAACCCUUAGACUUGUAUCUUGGUUGUUGUGUGUUUCAAUAUGUGGAGUUUGGGAUUGGUAUGAGAAUAUGGUAUCCCUGGUUCUCGCGUUUAAGUAGUGGCAUCCUAUUCAUGAGAUCAUAUAUAUACAUGCAUUAAUAAUUCCAGAAAUUGCCUUCUUUGAUCAUAACAUAUGUGAGUGUUAGUUUACAUGUUUACAUCAAUCUUCUCACAUAUACCUAGUAUAGGGAGUGUAGUCAGAAAAUCUCUAUGAAAAUAGAGAGUAUAUCCAAUGAGGAAUUGAGGGAAUU
Molecule: long non-coding RNA, 694 nt
Filed under: Malus domestica (apple)
Lineage: Eukaryota; Viridiplantae; Streptophyta; Magnoliopsida; Rosales; Rosaceae
Description: long non-coding RNA (MDOM_LNC006200)
Source: RNAcentral